AGUCUUUUCUAUUUAUUUCUAUACUUAAAAAUUAAUGUGGUUGACAGAAAAAUCAGUCCAUUACAUUUGAUGUGUCAUGUGUAUUUCAUGCUGACGCAUAUAAACCGACUUUUAACAAUAGAAAUGGAUAGAAUUUAUAACA
Gossypium hirsutum (cotton) is the source of this 142-nucleotide non-coding RNA. Lineage: Eukaryota; Viridiplantae; Streptophyta; Magnoliopsida; Malvales; Malvaceae. The record is from Rfam.